This 425-nucleotide ribosomal RNA is filed under the name uncultured bacterium. Its description in RNAcentral is "bacterial SSU rRNA". It matches the Rfam family "Bacterial small subunit ribosomal RNA", at positions 356 to 774 of the family's 1533-position model. The record is from RNAcentral.
GGGGAAUUUUGGACAAUGGGCGCAAGCCUGAUCCAGCAAUGCCGCGUGCAGGAUGAAGGCCUUCGGGUUGUAAACUGCUUUUGUACGGAACGAAAAGGCUCUGGUUAAUACCUGGGGCUCAUGACGGUACCGUAAGAAUAAGCACCGGCUAACUACGUGCAGCAGCCGCGGUAAUACGUAGGGUGCAAGCGUUAAUCGGAAUUACUGGGCGUAAAGCGUGCGCAGGCGGUUAUGUAAGACAGAUGUGAAAUCCCCGGGCUCAACCUGGGACCUGCAUUUGUGACUGUAUAGCUAGAGUACGGUAGAGGGGGAUGGAAUUCCGCGUGUAGCAGUGAAAUGCGUAGAUAUGCGGAGGAACACCGAUGGCGAAGGCAAUCCCCUGGACCUGUACUGACGCUCAUGCACGAAAGCGUGGGGAGCAAACA